CGCGAAUCGCCCUUCGGGGUGCCCAGGCGCGAAAACUUUACAAUGCUGGCAACAGCGAUAAGGGGACCUCGAGUGCCAGGAUACAAUCUUGGCUGUCGUGAUGCCUAAAAAGCAUUACAUAGCAAGGGCCGGGCAAGACCGGUGCCAGCCGCCGCGGUAACACCGGCGGCUCGAGUGGUAACCGCUAUUAUUGGGUCUAAAGGGUCUGUAGCCGGCCGGAUAAGUCUCUUGGGAAAUCCGACAGCUCAACUGUCGGGCUUUCAGGGGAUACUGUUCGGCUCGAGGCCGGGAGAGGUGAGAGGUACUUCAGGGGUAGGGGUGAAAUCUUGUAAUCCUUGAAGGACCACCAGUGGCGAAGGCGUCUCACCAGAACGGUCCUGACGGCAAGGGACGAAAGCUAGGGGCACGAACCGGAUUAGAUACCCGGGUAGUCCUAGCCGUAAACGAUACUCGCUAGGUGUCGGCCACGGUGCGACCGUGGUCGGUGCCGUAGGGAAGCCGUGAAGCGAGCCACCUGGGAAGUACGGCCGCAAGGCUGAAACUUAAAGGAAUUGGCGGGGGAGCAC
This 566-nucleotide ribosomal RNA is filed under the name uncultured archaeon. Its description in RNAcentral is "bacterial SSU rRNA". It matches the Rfam family "Archaeal small subunit ribosomal RNA", at positions 312 to 879 of the family's 1478-position model. The record is from RNAcentral.